GGCGACAUAGCCAAGCGGUAAGGCAGAGGUCUGCAAAAUCUCCACCACCGGUUCGAUUCCGGUUGUCGCCUCCA
Molecule: transfer RNA, 74 nt
Filed under: Clostridiales bacterium
Lineage: Bacteria; Bacillati; Bacillota; Clostridia; Eubacteriales
Also listed under: 2 other names
Description: tRNA-Cys
Rfam family: tRNA
About the family: Transfer RNA (tRNA) molecules are approximately 80 nucleotides in length.
Source: RNAcentral